This is a long non-coding RNA of Panicum virgatum (switchgrass), 1359 nucleotides long. RefSeq lists it as uncharacterized. The record is from RefSeq and is a predicted model, not a curated record. NCBI's taxonomy places the organism in Eukaryota, Viridiplantae, Streptophyta, Magnoliopsida, Poales, Poaceae. The transcript is spliced from 4 exons.
GGCACCAGCUCGCCGCACGCCGCUCCAGCUCGACCCUACCCGCAGUCGGGCCGCUCCUACACACGCUCCACCAUCGUCGCCUCCCUCGGCGAUCUGUGCGCCGCGGUGUCGUCGUCUUCAGAUCCGCUCGCGGACAUGGUGCCGGAGCAUAGCAGCCCGUGGAAAGGGAGUGAGCACGGGCGGUCCUGCCGCGCCUCUCCUCAGCUUCACCUCCGGCCAUGCCCCUCCUCGCCUCCCCCACCCCCUCCAGUUCCCCACCAUGCAGUCCUCCCUGAGGCUACGGAUGGCACCGGCGCCGGCGUCGGCAGGGGGUGACGGGAAGGAGCACCUCCUGGAGGUGCGGUGCGCCGCAGUGUGCAGUCUCCUGGCCGUCUACCUUUCAGAUGCGACACACGGGUGAUGGUUGCGGCGGCGGCGGCGGGCAGCGGGUGCGGUCCGCGUAGGCGGCGGACGGAUGCGCGGAAAUCACAUCUUUCUUCAACCUGCUCGUCUCCUCACAUCUAUGCGUGGAAAUCAGGAGCAGCGGAGGCAGGGUGGGCACCAAGCCGAAGAAGUACGACACGCAGAUAGGCACACAUCAGUGGCAGGAACGCACAGUUUAUGUUCACACAUACUGCGAAAUCUGAUGCAUGGCUCUCCAAUUAUGUCCAUAUGCAAACUUUAGUUGAGGUAAGCCCAACUUUCCCCUACAAGAAGUUUCCCUUAUUGAUUCAAUGUAGAAAUAAAUUUGGAUCAACAUAGCUGUAUUGUAGGUUUUUAGCAAAGAUAUCAUUGCCUUACUCCUUAACUGAUUAUUGAGCAAAUUUUAGAUAAAGUUAUGUACAAGUACCACAUCUCAGCGAUUAUAUGGUUAAGUUCAAUUUGGGAUGGUAGCAGUAAUCAACCUGCUGUGCUUUAUGUGAAUCAUAUUGAUGCCUGAAGCUCAUCUGUACUCAGUUCGUGCUCCUUGAAUUGUAUUCCUAUUUAUUUCAGUAGGCACGAUUCAUUUAGUAUAUUUUAUCACUUAAGUUUACCUAUGUCAGUUAUCGCUGCAACCUAUAUGUACAUUGAUACCUCAUAUUUUCUUUGAUUGAUUCUUACUAUUACUACUUCUUACUAGGUAGUACUAUUUUCCUUGGUGGAUCAUGAAGUCCUGGUAGCAAGUGGCAAUAGCUCAGUAGCUAUUAUGGAUGAGAAGUUGGAUGCAAAGAUGAAAACAUGAGUGUAAUAACUAGCUAUUCAAUGUGCUUCUUAACUUACCUGAGAUAUUAUUUUUUUUGACAUGAUGUACUUUGAGAUAUUGGCUCUAAUAUAUACUCUCUGAUUUCUGGGCUGGAAUUGUUGUUUUUAUUUAUGGGCUAAGUGGUGGGCUGAAUUUUA